UCUGGGCGGCCUCCGUUUUUGGAGGAUAUAUUUUAUCCUUCGUAUCUGAAGGAUAGCGGUCGCGCCACCUAUCGGAGAUUUCAAAACAAAUGAUCGAGGUCGGGAUUCGCAAUAUUCCUAUUGUAAACUUUGACGUCUGCAAGUUGUGAUUGAUAGAUUGAUAAUUGUUAAAAGCCGAGUUAAAAUUGUUAAACUUUGACGUCUGCAAGUUGUGUAAGUAUAAGGAUCAUUAGAGCCAAUCGCAAAAUACCUAAAGGAUUACAUUGUUUGUGACGAGCUGACGCUUUGCUGUCGAGAACUUUAAAUUCUACGUCACAUUCUCGCCACAUCAAAGGAAGUAGCCGAGAUAGCGUCUCUCCCACGCUAAAGUCGGUCAGCUGCAAUACACAUCGCCGACGUUUAACGGGUUCACAAUAGGGGACAGAAAACACAAAUUUUAUUGAACAGUUUAAAAAGAGCAUUAUUUAUAUUAUAAUUAUGCAUUUUUUUUUAGAGUCCAUAAUAAAUUAAAGCCGUAAAAAUUUAAUUUUAUAGCAUUUACCAUUUGUGUACAUGGCACGGUAUACAUGCGAUAUGAAAUGAUGUACAUGUAUGAUCAAUUUAAAUUGCUGUAUUUUAAGUAUUCGUCCUGGUCAUUCUUGGAUUGUGUAGUAUUUUAAUUGUUUCAAAUCACUAGUACUGUUGAUGUGAAAUGAUUUUUCUGUGGAAAAGAGAAAUGUUUGUUAAAUCGUUCGUUUUUUGAUUAUCGAAAAAGAAGAAGGAGAAAAUGGAUUGAUUGAGAUAGGGAUCCAGGAGGUACCGAAAAAGGGACAAUGCUUUGACUGAAUGUGCCAUUCAUUUACAUGUACCAGUGUAGAUCUGUUACUGAGGCAUAUCCAAUAAUUCUUAUACUCAUGAAGAGUGUGGCAACUGACAACUUCCAAGUAUUGAUGUUGGGACUCAUUUUAAAUCAGAUGCUCUCACUUCUAGGAUGUUUCCAAGUUCUUGUUAAAAGUGUUUGAUAUGGCACCAUUCAGCUACAAAUAUUUUGCCAGUGGAACUGUGACAUCAAUCAAUUGCUCAUGCACUGCUAAUUGGCAGAGAAUUUCCUUUGGGACAAGCAAACUGUUUCAAACAUUUUACACCAGCAAGUAGUGAUGAGUGUACUGGAAGGUUUUAAGGAUCUCUUCCAACAUCAUAGGUACAACUGGUCACUGUGCUUGCUUGGUUAUAUAAGCUGGCAUAUUGUUAAGGCAGUGACAUAUGUAGCUCCACUUGACUGUUUUUC
Molecule: long non-coding RNA, 1267 nt
Organism: Saccostrea cuccullata (small rock oyster)
Lineage: Eukaryota; Metazoa; Mollusca; Bivalvia; Ostreida; Ostreidae
Exons: 4
Source: RefSeq, a predicted model, not a curated record